Molecule: ribosomal RNA, 547 nt
Filed under: uncultured eukaryote
Lineage: Eukaryota
Description: SSU rRNA
Rfam family: Eukaryotic small subunit ribosomal RNA
Source: RNAcentral
UAUUAAAGUUGUUGCAGUUAAAAAGCUCGUAGUUGGACUUCAGAGUGAGCUCAUACGGUCGGCCUAAUGGGUCAGAACUGGGUGACUUUCUCUUGCUUGUGGAUCCCGUCCGGAGUUAACUCUUCGGAUGUGGACUCCACAUCGUUUACCUUGAAAAAAUUAGAGUGUUCAAAGCGGGCGUUUGCUUGAAUAUAUUAGCAUGGAAUAAUGGAAUAGGACCCUGGUUCUAUUUUGUUGGUUUUGAGAACCAGAGUAAUGAUUAAUAGGGAUAGUUGGGGGCAUUCAUAUUUCAUUGUCAGAGGUGAAAUUCUUGGAUUUAUGAAAGAUGAACUUCUGCGAAAGCAUUUGCCAAGGAUGUUUUCAUUAAUCAAGAACGAAAGUUAGGGGAUCGAAGACGAUCAGAUACCGUCGUAGUCUUAACCAUAAACUAUGCCGACUAGGGAUUGGGCGUGGUUUGUUCAUUGACCCGCUCAGCACCUUACGAGAAAUCAAAGUCUUUGGGUUCCGGGGGGAGUAUGGUCGCAAGGCUGAAACUUAAAGGAAUUGA